GAAUGGGAUUCGUCCUCGGCCAACACUGGUGAUAUCGAGUGAUGUCGUGCCCGGGCUUAGCAUGACACCCAUCUUGUCGACGUGCUAUAGAUCAUCGCGUAUGUUUUCCGCUGCUAAAAAUCUUAGCUUAAACAGUUUGUAUUGUUUUCUCUUAGUUUGAAACUUUGUACUACUUUUAUAAACUCUUGUAAUGUAAUUCCCUGUUAUGUAAAUUAUGAUGGUGAUUGUAUCUCUGGACUCACCUUCGUGUGAGGUAACCUUAUUGAUCCUGUGUAUCGGUGGUUUAUCGGGACGUUACCCGACAGGCCAAGGGAUUAUACCGCUUGAAGCACGUUGGAGCCCUCGGUAGUGGACUCGCGUACUUGAGCCGGUAUAAUUCAGGUUGGUUCUGCCACACCUGCUGUACUUGUAGUACCUAAAGGUGGAGAAGAAGACCCAGAACCCGACCCUCAGUCAGAUUACUCCUCUUCCGGCAGCCAGUCCUCUGUAGGCAACCUCGACGAUUUCUAGUUUGUCCAAAUCAUCGAUUCUCUAGAUGUAACUAGAGUAAAGUGUAGUGACAUAGGUAGUAAGUAGUCUACCUAGACCCUGUGCCAUUUGUUGUAAUAUAGAUGGCCUGUGUACGGACCCCCUUGAUGUACGAUGUUAAGAACGACCAGUAUCUGUGUUGUAAUCCAAGUCUUGUGUUCUGCCAUCUUGUUCAAUAUCUUUGCAUCUGAAAAGAGUUGGUUGAAUGGAACAUGUGAAUUAUAUAUC
This 756-nucleotide long non-coding RNA is filed under the name Panicum hallii. RNAcentral's name for it is "long non-coding RNA (PHAL_LNC000566)". The record is from RNAcentral. Lineage: Eukaryota; Viridiplantae; Streptophyta; Magnoliopsida; Poales; Poaceae.